Molecule: ribosomal RNA, 549 nt
Filed under: uncultured bacterium
Lineage: Bacteria
Description: partial 16S ribosomal RNA
Rfam family: Bacterial small subunit ribosomal RNA
Source: RNAcentral
UGGGGAAUUUUGGACAAUGGGCGAAAGCCUGAUCCAGCAAUGCCGCGUGUGUGAAGAAGGCCUUCGGGUUGUAAAGCACUUUUGUCCGGAAAGAAAUCCUUGGCUCUAAUACAGUCGGGGGAUGACGGUACCGGAAGAAUAAGCACCGGCUAACUACGUGCCAGCAGCCGCGGUAAUACGUAGGGUGCAAGCGUUAAUCGGAAUUACUGGGCGUAAAGCGUGCGCAGGCGGUUUGCUAAGACCGAUGUGAAAUCCCCGGGCUCAACCUGGGAACUGCAUUGGUGACUGGCAGGCUAGAGUAUGGCAGAGGGGGGUAGAAUUCCACGUGUAGCAGUGAAAUGCGUAGAGAUGUGGAGGAAUACCGAUGGCGAAGGCAGCCCCCCUGGGGCCAAAUACUGACGCUCAUGCACGAAAGCGUGGGGAGCAAAACAGGAUUAGAUACCCUGGUAGUCCACGCCCCUAAACGAUGUCAACUAGUUGUUGGGGAUUCAUUUCCUUAGUAACGUAGCUAACGCGUGAAGUUGACCGCCUGGGGAGUACGGUCGCAAG